RNAcentral lists this ribosomal RNA (669 nucleotides) under Triticum aestivum (bread wheat). Its description in RNAcentral is "partial small subunit ribosomal RNA". Lineage: Eukaryota; Viridiplantae; Streptophyta; Magnoliopsida; Poales; Poaceae. The record is from RNAcentral.
AUGAGACCACAUCAGUUGGCAGGCAUGUAUUACCGCAGAAAAAUAAAGCCUUCCGACCCCAUCAAUAAUCUUUCACUUACUGCAAAUACGAUUCGCGGUUGGGGAUGUGGCAGUGUUACCGAGGAGUGGGACAACUUGUAUGCUCAGAAGGUCCAAUUGUUAACUUUCCUUUCUACUCUGCCCGAGCCCGCUCUGAGUUAUGGGCCGAGUGUUGAAACUAAUAUGGCCAAUUCUAUCGAGCAAAGAGAACAGAAAAAGAGUGACAUAAUAGUUCUUGAUUCGGAUGAUGAUGAUGAAAGCACAGGAGCACACAAGCAACUGACGCCUGAGAAAAAUAAACAGCUGAUACCAUCCGAACAGGCUGGUGCUCUCAUGAGAGUGGUAAUCGAAGGAAUUGAUGAAGUAAAUGAGACAAUGCAUGAUAGAGACCAAAACAGUCAAAUUGUUCCAUAUAGUCCAAGUGCAACUUUAAUGAAUCAGUAUCCUUCCGCCAGCUAUCAACCAUCAACAUUUCUGUUUGAGAGAGUUAUAUUGCAGAAAAGACCUCAGGAACGUAUCCAUGAUCUGGCUGUUGCUACCCAUAACGAGAAAAUAGCAGAAACACAAGUUUCCCCUCCACUUCCUCAGGAGAGAAAAAAAACCGAAAAGUUGAUCCAAGCUCCCAAGUAG